GAAAGAAAGAAAGAGGGAGAGAAGAGCUUGGGAGGAAAAGAAGAAACAACAAUGAAGGGUCAUCAUCUUCACCAACAUCAUCUCAUCUUCUUCUCACCAUCUUCACCAAUCAUGAGGUAUUCCUUGCAGGUUGGAUUCCAGAGAAGCUAUCUACUGAUGUUUCAAGGAAUUCAGUUAUUCUGAUCUUCCGUUGUGGAGUUGUGUAUAAUGAAGACAUUGUACAUAUUUCUUAGAUUUUAUUUUUAGGCAUUAUUGUAUAGCAUGCCCUAUUGAUGUUUUUAGUUGGACACGCGUAUAUGAUGAUGUCAUUAUGCACUUAUGUUGUGUUAGUACCAAUUAAUAACACUUGUAUGAUAUUAUUCUAGAUAUAUAUUAUACGGGUUAUUACAAUA
Lathyrus oleraceus (garden pea) is the source of this 392-nucleotide long non-coding RNA. RefSeq lists it as uncharacterized. The record is from RefSeq and is a predicted model, not a curated record. The transcript is spliced from 2 exons. Lineage: Eukaryota; Viridiplantae; Streptophyta; Magnoliopsida; Fabales; Fabaceae.